RNAcentral lists this ribosomal RNA (443 nucleotides) under uncultured bacterium. RNAcentral's name for it is "partial 16S ribosomal RNA". It matches the Rfam family "Bacterial small subunit ribosomal RNA", at positions 338 to 795 of the family's 1533-position model. The record is from RNAcentral.
CCUACGGGAGGCAGCAGUGGGGAAUAUUGGGCAAUGGAGGCAACUCUGACCCAGCAACGCCGCGUGAAUGAUGAAGGUCUUCGGAUUGUAAAGUUCUGUGAUGGGGGAUGAACACAAUGACGGUACCCCAAUAGCAAGCCACGGCUAACUAGUUGCCAGCAGCCGCGGUAAUACGUGGGUGGCAAGCGUUAUCAGGUAUGACUGGGCGUAAAGGGUGCGUAGGUGGUAUAGUAAGUUGGCGGUGUAAUCCCGGGGCUUAACCUCGCCGCUGCCGCGAAAACUAUUAGACUAGAGUGCAGGAGAGGUAAGUGGAAUUCCUAGUGUAGCGGUGAAAUGCGUAGAUAUUAGGAGGAACAUCAGGGGCGAAGGCGACUUACUGGACUGUAACUGACGCUGAGGCACGAAAGCGUGGGGAGCAAACAGGAUUAGAUACCCUUGUAGUC